AAAGUACUGAAUAAGUAUAAUUACUAAUCAAUCUCAUCUCAGGAAGCGAAUCACAGUGAGCUGCGGUAAACUCCGGGAGCUUCUGCCCAGACUGCAAGGUGUCCGAAGUGAUAUGGUGACAGUUCUGGAAAUGACAAUUGCCUUUCUGGAACAUGUUAAGGUCUUUGCGGAGGGACACCAGUACAGAGAGAUUCUAUACCCACCACAAGAGCUGUACUGUAUGUGGCUCCUAGAGACCCAGCUGCGGAAGCAGGAAUGUCAAAGGAAGGUUUCUGAGGAGGAGCAACGGCAGAAUGUCCAGCGAUGCCCGAGAAGACAGGGUGUGCAGAAAUGUUUGGGUGACGGCACUAGAAGAAAGCCAAGUAGCAAUUGUGAGUGCAACUCUUAUGAACUUUCACAGAGAAAGUUGAAAAGGGGACUCAUUUCUUUUUUCUCCCUCUGCCAGGUAUAA
RNAcentral lists this long non-coding RNA (451 nucleotides) under Scleropages formosus (Asian bonytongue). Its description in RNAcentral is "lncRNA (ENSSFOG00015025835.1)". Lineage: Eukaryota; Metazoa; Chordata; Actinopteri; Osteoglossiformes; Osteoglossidae. The record is from RNAcentral.